This 998-nucleotide long non-coding RNA is filed under the name Homo sapiens (human). RNAcentral describes it as "non-protein coding lnc-PDE6B-1:23". The record is from RNAcentral. Lineage: Eukaryota; Metazoa; Chordata; Mammalia; Primates; Hominidae.
GCAUGUGUGUGCGCGCGCGUGUGUGCGGGGUGUGCCGUGAGCGUGUGCCCGCGGUUCGGGGGAUGAGUAGGGGCGCUGACUUUUAGGACCAGCCAUUUGAGUCAAGCUGGAGACGACGUCUUAGAACCUAGGAUGAGUCUCGUUUGGUUUUAGUCUGCAAAGCUCGUCUGCAUCAGACAGGAAUUUUCCCCAGACGCGGGUGCACGUGAAUUAAUUCAUCAGAAGGCGGUUCACGGCCUGAGUGAGGGGGACGAGGGCGGCGAAUUCCUCCGCCUCAUUCCUACCCUGACGAUUCGAGCCUGUUAAUAUGAUGAAUUACACUGAUUCAGUUUCAAAUGUCCAACCAAGCUUGCACUCCAGAGAUGAAGCCCACUUGAUCACAUGGAUUAUUCUUUUAAUAUAUGAUGGAUACGACUUGGCUGUUCUUUUGUUGAGGAUUUUUGUGUUUAUGUUAAUGAGGAUAUUAUUUGUAGUUUUCUUUUCUUGUAAUGUUUUUGUCUUUGUUCAGUGUCAGAGUAAUGCCAACUUCAUAAAGUGAGCUGGGAAGUACUCCCUCAUUUUCUGUUUUCUGUGAAAGAAUUGUAUAGAAUUGAUGUUAUUUCUUCCUUAAGUGUUGAGUAGAAUUCACUUGCAAAGCCAUCUGAGGUUGACAUCUUCUUUGGGAAUGACUUUAGCUAUAAAUUCAAUUUAUUUAACAGAUAUAGGGCUAUUAAGGUUAUUUAAUUUUUUUCUUGAAUGAGCUUUAGUGUCCUGUGUUUUUCAAGGAAUUUUUCCAUUUUAUUUAAGUUUUUAGAUUUGUUGGCAUAAAGUUAUCCCAAUAUUUCCUUAGAAGUUGUGACUUUUACUGCAUAUAAAACAUACCUCAAUAAAGCUAAUACAUACAUAUAUAUAUAUGAAUCAUUUCUGGCCAGGUACAGUGGCUCAUGCCUGUAAUCCCAGCACUUUGGGAGGCAGAGGCAGGUGGAUCACCUGAGAUCAGGUGUUCCAGACCAGCCUGG